Molecule: RNA transcript, 2416 nt
Organism: Carlito syrichta (Philippine tarsier)
Lineage: Eukaryota; Metazoa; Chordata; Mammalia; Primates; Tarsiidae
Gene: SMARCD3
Gene name: SWI/SNF related, matrix associated, actin dependent regulator of chromatin, subfamily d, member 3
Exons: 11
Source: RefSeq, a predicted model, not a curated record
CUCCUCAGCAUGGCCCUUGGUGCUGCAGGCGCGGUGGGCUCUGGGCCCAGGCACCGAGGGGGCACUGGAUGACUCUCCAGUUGCAGGACCCUGCCAUCUAUGACUCCAGGCCUUCAGCACCCACCCACCGUGGUACAGUGCCAAGAGGAGGAAGAUGGCUGACAAAAUCCUCCCUCAAAGGAUUCGGGAGCUGGUCCCCGAGUCCCAGGCCUACAUGGACCUCCUAGCCUUUGAGAGGAAACUGGAUCAAACCAUCAUGCGGAAGCGGGUGGACAUCCAGGAGGCUCUGAAGAGGCCCAUGAAGGUGCCUUAGUUUGGGGCAAAAGCGGAAGCUGCGUCUUUAUAUCUCCAACACUUUUAACCCUGCGAAGCCUGAUGCUGAGGAUUCUGAUGGCAGCAUUGCCUCCUGGGAGCUGCGGGUGGAGGGGAAGCUCCUGGAUGAUCCCAGCAAGCAGAAGCGGAAGUUCUCGUCUUUCUUCAAGAGUUUGGUCAUUGAGCUGGACAAAGAUCUCUAUGGUCCCGACAACCACCUCGUUGAGUGGCAUCGGACACCCACGACCCAGGAGACAGAUGGCUUCCAGGUGAAGAGGCCAGGGGACCUGAGUGUGCGCUGCACCCUGCUUCUCAUGCUGGACUACCAGCCUCCCCAGUUCAAACUGGACCCCCGCCUGGCCCGGCUGCUGGGGUUGCACACACAGAGCCGCUCAGCUAUUGUCCAGGCUCUGUGGCAGUAUGUGAAGACCAAUAGGCUGCAGGACUCCCACGACAAGGAAUACAUCAAUGGGGACAAGUAUUUCCAGCAGGUAACCUGUCUCCUGAACCCCGGGAUCUGGGGAGCAGGCAGAGUCCUCCAGCGGGGCAAUACUUCUCUUAAAGUAACCACUACCUCUCCCUUCUAGAUUUCUGAAUAGCAGAAGCGAUACACAGUUGUGUUCUUGGAGCCAAGACACCAACCAGGGUUCUAGACAGGGCCCUACCAUGGAUUAGCUCUGUGCUGCAGCCAGUCCAUUUUAGCCUCCCCAAGUUAGGAAGAUCUGGAACCCUACAAAACCAACUGCUUUCUGAAAUGUAGUUUUCUUGGGAUUUGGAAUGAGGAUCCCUGGGUUCUAAUCCUGGGUCUAGACUUUGGUAAGUUACUUAGCUAUUCUAAGCCUUGUUCCUUAUCUUUGAAGUGAAGUGAUGACACUUGUCCCAUCUAAUCUCUUGGGCAGUUAGGAAAAUCAAAUCACUGUGAAAGUGAUUUGGCAAAAUUCUACCGAAGUACAGAGUAUGCUUAUUAAUGCACUUUUAAAUAAACACAGCAGAUAAACCUGAGGAGUAAAAAUAGCAGUUGAUAUUUAUUGAGCACUUACCACGUGCCAGGCAGCUCCAAGCACUUUAUGUGUAUUAAUCACUGAGUUCUUCCAACAGCACUGUGAGAUAAGUGUUAUUAUCCCCACUUUAGAGAUAGAGACACUGAGGCCUUAGGUGUUAAGGAACUUGCUCAAGGCUGUAUAGUAAGUGGUGGGAGCAGGAGUGAUUUCUAGGCAGGGAGACCCAGGGCCACACCCUCAACCACUGCCCCACACAGACCCCCCUUCCUUGUUGGCUGUGCCGGUGACUCUCUGACCAGCAUAGCCUACCCCACUCCUAUCCAUCAUGAGCACUGAGGAAUCAAACUUGCUCUCAGCUUCUUACGGGCUCUCCAGAAUGAAAGGAUCUAGAACUGUAAUUAUGCUUUCAAGCACAGAAGAGUGACUUCUCUCUCCCCAAAUGUCCUGCUCCAGAUUUUUGACUGCCCCCGGCUGAAGUUUUCUGAGAUUCCCCAGCGCCUCACAGCCCUGCUAUUGCCCCCUGAUCCAAUUGUCAUCAACCAUGUCAUCAGCGUGGAUCCAUCAGACCAGAAGAAGACAGCGUGCUACGACAUUGACGUGGAGGUGGAGGAGCCACUAAAGGGGCAGAUGAGCAGCUUCCUCCUGUCCACGGCCAACCAGCAGGAGAUCAGUGCUCUGGACAGUAAGAUCCAUGAGACGAUUGAGUCCAUAAACCAGCUCAAGAUCCAGAGGGACUUCAUGCUAAGCUUCUCCAGAGACCCCAAAGGCUAUGUCCAAGACCUGCUCCGCUCCCAGAGCCGGGACCUCAAGGUGAUGACAGAUGUAGCCGGCAACCCUGAGGAGGAGCGCCGGGCUGAGUUCUACCACCAGCCCUGGUCCCAGGAGGCCGUCAGUCGCUACUUCUACUGCAAGAUCCAGCAGCGCAGGCAGGAGUUGGAGCAGUCACUGGUUGUGCGCAACACCUAGGCGCCUGUGAAUGAGCAGCACUACGAACCUUCCGGCUGCACCCUGUUCCCCCAGUGCUCUGCCCUGGGCUCUGGCUUCACUCCUCUGCCACCUUGGAUGGGGAUGGGGGAGCUGGAUUAAAGGUCAUUCAUCUGACA